This 895-nucleotide ribosomal RNA is filed under the name Bacillus zhangzhouensis. RNAcentral describes it as "bacterial SSU rRNA". It matches the Rfam family "Bacterial small subunit ribosomal RNA", at positions 1 to 874 of the family's 1533-position model. The record is from RNAcentral. Lineage: Bacteria; Bacillati; Bacillota; Bacilli; Caryophanales; Bacillaceae.
GCACCCGUAGAAGUUUUGAUCCUGGCUCAGGACGAACGCCGGGCGGCGUGCCUAAUACAUGCAAGUCGAGCGGACAGAAGGGAGCUUGCUCCCGGAUGUUAGCGGCGGACGGGUGAGUAACACGUGGGUAACCUGCCUGUAAGACUGGGAUAACUCCGGGAAACCGGAGCUAAUACCGGAUAGUUCCUUGAACCGCAUGGUUCAAGGAUGAAAGACGGUUUCGGCUGUCACUUACAGAUGGACCCGCGGCGCAUUAGCUAGUUGGUGGGGUAAUGGCUCACCAAGGCGACGAUGCGUAGCCGACCUGAGAGGGUGAUCGGCCACACUGGGACUGAGACACGGCCCAGACUCCUACGGGAGGCAGCAGUAGGGAAUCUUCCGCAAUGGACGAAAGUCUGACGGAGCAACGCCGCGUGAGUGAUGAAGGUUUUCGGAUCGUAAAGCUCUGUUGUUAGGGAAGAACAAGUGCGAGAGUAACUGCUCGCACCUUGACGGUACCUAACCAGAAAGCCACGGCUAACUACGUGCCAGCAGCCGCGGUAAUACGUAGGUGGCAAGCGUUGUCCGGAAUUAUUGGGCGUAAAGGGCUCGCAGGCGGUUUCUUAAGUCUGAUGUGAAAGCCCCCGGCUCAACCGGGGAGGGUCAUUGGAAACUGGGAAACUUGAGUGCAGAAGAGGAGAGUGGAAUUCCACGUGUAGCGGUGAAAUGCGUAGAGAUGUGGAGGAACACCAGUGGCGAAGGCGACUCUCUGGUCUGUAACUGACGCUGAGGAGCGAAAGCGUGGGGAGCGAACAGGAUUCGAUACCCUGGUAGUCCACGCCGUAAACGAUGAGUGAUAAGUGUUAGGGGGUUUCCGCCCCUUAGUGCUGCAGCUAACGCAGUAAGCAUCUUGCCG